Molecule: long non-coding RNA, 461 nt
Filed under: Helianthus annuus (common sunflower)
Lineage: Eukaryota; Viridiplantae; Streptophyta; Magnoliopsida; Asterales; Asteraceae
Description: hypothetical non coding rna
Source: RNAcentral
UUUUUACAAGUCCCUUUUUAAGCUUAGAAGGAUUCAAGAAGGUAGCUACUUGUGGAGCUUCAAGAAGGGCUUUGUCUUGCUUGUUCUUCAUCUUUUCUCAUCAUCCUCCUCAAUAGAUUCUACCCUAGCUAUAAGCUAGUAGGAAUGGAUGGGAAGACGUGAUUGACCGACCUUGACUGUUAGCGAUAUUUGAGAAUCUAACCGAGCAAACCGAGGUGAGUUCACACUUUUCUACAAAGCAUGGUAAAUUCCCGGUGGGAAUGGGAAUGGGUACAGGAAUAGGGAUUCCUCGUCCUUUGAGACGUGUUCAGGAAUGUAAAUUCCUCGUCCUGUUGGGACGUGUUAAACUUACUGGACUAGAACUCUAUCAGCGAAGUCCCUCCCUUUUUGUAUCGACUUAAUCGCCGAGGCUAUGGCGAGCGGGUCAUUAGUUAAUAGCGCUAUUAGGUUUAACAAACCUC